This 432-nucleotide ribosomal RNA is filed under the name uncultured bacterium. Its description in RNAcentral is "partial 16S ribosomal RNA". It matches the Rfam family "Bacterial small subunit ribosomal RNA", at positions 29 to 507 of the family's 1533-position model. The record is from RNAcentral.
ACGAACGCUGGCGGCAGGCCUAACACAUGCAAGUCGAGCGAGGACUUCGGUUCUAACGGCGGACGGGUGAGUCACGCGUGGGAAUGUGCCCUUCUCUACGGAAUAGCCCUGGGAAACUGGGAGUAAUACCGUAUACGCCCUUUUGGGGAAAGAUUUAUCGGAGAAGGAUCAGCCCGCGUUGGAUUAGGUAGUUGGUGGGGUAAUGGCCUACCAAGCCGACGAUCCAUAGCUGGUUUGAGAGGAUGAUCAGCCACACUGGGACUGAGACACGGCCCAGACUCCUACGGGAGGCAGCAGUGGGGAAUCUUAGACAAUGGGGGCAACCCUGAUCUAGCCAUGCCGCGUGAGUGAUGAAGGCCUUAGGGUUGUAAAGCUCUUUCAGCUGGGAAGAUAAUGACGGUACCAGCAGAAGAAGCCCCGGCUAACUCCGUG